This 73-nucleotide transfer RNA is filed under the name Stegodyphus mimosarum. It matches the Rfam family "tRNA". Rfam says of the family: Transfer RNA (tRNA) molecules are approximately 80 nucleotides in length. Their secondary structure includes four short double-helical elements and three loops (D, anti-codon, and T loops). Further hydrogen bonds mediate the characteristic L-shaped molecular structure. tRNAs have two regions of fundamental functional importance: the anti-codon, which is responsible for specific mRNA codon recognition, and the 3' end, to which the tRNAs corresponding amino acid is attached (by aminoacyl-tRNA synthetases). tRNAs cope with the degeneracy of the genetic code in two manners: having more than one tRNA (with a specific anti-codon) for a particular amino acid; and 'wobble' base-pairing, i.e. permitting non-standard base-pairing at the 3rd anti-codon position. Lineage: Eukaryota; Metazoa; Arthropoda; Arachnida; Araneae; Eresidae. The record is from Rfam by way of RNAcentral.
GUUUUCGUGGCGUAGUGGUCAGCACGCUCGACGCAUAUUCGAGAGGUCUGUGGUUCGAGUCCCGGCGAGAGCA